UUGGAGGGCAAGUCUGGUGCCAGCAGCCGCGGUAAUUCCAGCUCCAAUAGCGUAUAUUAAAGUUGUUGCAGUUAAAAAGCUCGUAGUUGAAUUUCGGGAUUAGUACGUUGGUCGUGCCUUCGGUACGUACUGGUGUUACUGAUUCCUACCUUCUGACGAACCAUCAUGUCAUUAAUUUGGUGUGGCGGGGAAUCAGGACUGUUACUUUGAAAAAAUUAGAGUGUUUAAAGCAGGCUCGCGCUUGAAUACAUUAGCAUGGAAUAAUGAAAUAGGACGUUGACCCUAUUUUGUUGGUUUCUAGGAUUGACGUAAUGAUUAAUAGGGAUAGUUGGGGGCAUUAGUAUUCAAUUGUCAGAGGUGAAAUUCUUGGAUUUAUUGAAGACUAACUACUGCGAAAGCAUUUGCCAGGGAUGUUUUCAUUAAUCAAGAACGAAAGUUAGGGGAUCGAAGACGAUCAGAUACCGUCGUAGUCUUAACCAUAAACUAUGCCGACUAGGGAUCGGAUGAUGUUAUUUUUAAUGACUCAUUCGGCGCCUUACGGGAAAC
This 546-nucleotide ribosomal RNA is filed under the name uncultured Glomeromycotina. RNAcentral's name for it is "SSU rRNA". It matches the Rfam family "Eukaryotic small subunit ribosomal RNA", at positions 548 to 1098 of the family's 1831-position model. The record is from RNAcentral. Lineage: Eukaryota; Fungi; Glomeromycota.